This 475-nucleotide long non-coding RNA is filed under the name Vitis vinifera (wine grape). RNAcentral's name for it is "long non-coding RNA (VVIN_LNC000336)". Lineage: Eukaryota; Viridiplantae; Streptophyta; Magnoliopsida; Vitales; Vitaceae. The record is from RNAcentral.
ACAACUUCUCCGUCACAUUCCUCAUUCCCACUGAUGGCUCUCCCGUUACCCCGCAGAAAUCCGUUCUCAAAGCCUUACCCACAUCCAUAAACUAUGUUUUCCUUCCUCCUGUUGCCUUCGAUGACCUUCCCGAGGACGUACGCAUCGAGACUCGGAUCUCGCUCAGCAUGACUCGGUCGGUUCCCGCCCUGCGGGACUCGCUCCGGACACUGACCGAGUCGACUCGGCUCGUGGCUCUGGUGGUUGACCUCUUUGGCACCGACGCUUUUGAUGUUGCCAAUGAAUUCGGUAUUCCUCCGUACAUCUUCUUCCCUACGACCGCCAUGGUGUUGUCGUUGAUAUUCCACGUGCCGGAGCUUGACCAGAAAUUCUCUUGCGAGUAUCGGGACCUACCCGAACCGGUCAAAUUUCCCGGCUGUGUGCCGGUUCAGGGGAGAGACCUAAUCGACCCGCUUCAAGACAGAAAAAACGAGGC